RNAcentral lists this ribosomal RNA (497 nucleotides) under uncultured bacterium. RNAcentral describes it as "partial 16S ribosomal RNA". It matches the Rfam family "Bacterial small subunit ribosomal RNA", at positions 28 to 507 of the family's 1533-position model. The record is from RNAcentral.
GAUGAACGCUGGCGGCGUGCCUAAUACAUGCAAGUCGAGCGAACGGACGAGAAGCUUGCUUCUCUGAUGUUAGCGGCGGACGGGUGAGUAACACGUGGAUAACCUACCUAUAAGACUGGGAUAACUUCGGGAAACCGGAGCUAAUACCGGAUAAUAUUUUGAACCGCAUGGUUCAAUAGUGAAAGACGGUCUUGCUGUCACUUAUAGAUGGAUCCGCGCUGCAUUAGCUAGUUGGUAAGGUAACGGCUUACCAAGGCAACGAUGCAUAGCCGACCUGAGAGAGUGAUCGGCCACACGGGAACGGAGACACGGUCCAGACUCCUACGGGAGGGAGCAGUAGGGAAUCUUCCGCAGUGGGCGAAAGCCUGACGGAGCAACGCCGCGUGAGUGAUGAAGGUCUUCGGAUCGUAAAACUCUGUUAUUAGGGAAGAACAUAUGUGUAAGUAACUGUGCACAUCUUGACGGUACCUAAUCAGAAAGCCACGGCUAACUACGUG